Molecule: ribosomal RNA, 465 nt
Filed under: Vreelandella stevensii
Lineage: Bacteria; Pseudomonadati; Pseudomonadota; Gammaproteobacteria; Oceanospirillales; Halomonadaceae
Description: partial 16S ribosomal RNA
Rfam family: Bacterial small subunit ribosomal RNA
Source: RNAcentral
CCUACGGGCGGCUGCAGUGGGGAAUAUUGGACAAUGGGGGCAACCCUGAUCCAGCCAUGCCGCGUGUGUGAAGAAGGCCCUCGGGUUGUAAAGCACUUUCAGUGAGGAAGAACGCCUGGUGGUUAAUACCCAUCAGGAAAGACAUCACUCACAGAAGAAGCACCGGCUAACUCCGUGCCAGCAGCCGCGGUAAUACGGAGGGUGCGAGCGUUAAUCGGAAUUACUGGGCGUAAAGCGCGCGUAGGUGCCUUGAUAAGCCGGUUGUGAAAGCCCCGGGCUCAACCUGGGAACGGCAUCCGGAACUGUCAAGCUAGAGUGCAGGAGAGGAAGGUAGAAUUCCCGGUGUAGCGGUGAAAUGCGUAGAGAUCGGGAGGAAUACCAGUGGCGAAGGCGGCCUUCUGGACUGACACUGACACUGAGGUGCGAAAGCGUGGGUAGCAAACAGGAUUAGAUACCCUUGUAGUC